GGGCAGAGGGUAGGCGGCCAGGGCGCGCCACAUGAUCCGCGGCAAUCUCGCAGUGACUAGCCCUCCACCACUCAGCCCGGCUUGAAAACCCCACCUGCUCACUUCUCCACCCAAACCCAAUCCAAAAUCUUUCCCUCCCUCCCAUCCUUUCUUCCCCUCCGCCUCCGCCUCCUCGGCCGCCGGUGACGCGCCAGGCGCUAGCCAGCCAUGUCGUGCUCCCACCUCUCCACCGCGUGGUCCUCCUCCGCGCUUGCCAGCACCUCCACCCGCCGCCGCGCCUCCACCGGCAGCAGCAGCAGCCUGGUGGUGCGGUGCUCCCUCCGGGACCUCCGCAACCGCAUCGACUCUGUCCGUAACACGCAGAAGAUCACGGAGGCGAUGAAGCUGGUGGCCGCCGCCAAGGUCCGUCGCGCGCAGGAGGCCGUGGUCUCCUCCCGCCCCUUCUCGGAGGCU
Molecule: long non-coding RNA, 453 nt
Filed under: Triticum aestivum (bread wheat)
Lineage: Eukaryota; Viridiplantae; Streptophyta; Magnoliopsida; Poales; Poaceae
Description: long non-coding RNA (TAES_LNC023968)
Source: RNAcentral